This 473-nucleotide ribosomal RNA is filed under the name uncultured Magnetococcus sp. Its description in RNAcentral is "bacterial SSU rRNA". It matches the Rfam family "Bacterial small subunit ribosomal RNA", at positions 79 to 587 of the family's 1533-position model. Lineage: Bacteria; Pseudomonadati; Pseudomonadota; Magnetococcia; Magnetococcales; Magnetococcaceae. The record is from RNAcentral.
UUCGGGAUGCCGGCGAGUGGCGAACGGGUGAGUAAUACGUGGAAACCUAUCCCGAGGUGGGGGAUAACAGCUGGAAACGGCUGCUAAUACCGCAUAAGCCCUAAGGGGGAAAGAUUUAUCGCCUUGGGAGGGGUCCACGUCGGAUUAGCUAGUUGGUAGGGUAAAGGCCUACCAAGGCGACGAUCCGUAGCUGGUCUGAGAGGAUGGACAGCCACACUGGGACUGAGACACGGCCCAGACUCCUACGGGAGGCAGCGGUGGGGAAUAUUGCGCAAUGGGGGAAACCCUGACGCAGCGAUGCCGCGUGGGUGAAGAAGGCCUUCGGGUUGUAAAGCCCUUUCAGUGGGGAAGAUAGUGACGGUACCCACAGAAGAAGCUCCGGCUAACUCCGUGCCAGCAGCCGCGGUAAUACGGAGGGGGCGAGCGUUGUUCGGAAUUACUGGGCGUAAAGGGCGCGUAGGCGGUGCAGCAAG